This 468-nucleotide ribosomal RNA is filed under the name uncultured bacterium. RNAcentral describes it as "partial 16S ribosomal RNA". It matches the Rfam family "Bacterial small subunit ribosomal RNA", at positions 28 to 507 of the family's 1533-position model. The record is from RNAcentral.
GACGAACGCUGGCGGCGUGCUUAACACAUGCAAGUCGAACGGAAAGGCCCUGCUUUUGUUUGGUUCUCGAGUGGCGAACGGGUGAGUAACACGUGAGUAACCUGCCCUUGACUUUGGGAUAACUCCAGGAAACUGGGGCUAAUACCGGAUAGGAGCUCCUGCUGCAUGGUGUGGGUUGGAAAGUUUCGGCGGUUGGGGAUGGACUCGCUGCUUAUCAGCUUGUUGGUGGGGUAGUUGCUUACCAAGGGUUUGACGGGUAGCCGGCAUGAGAGGGUGACCGGGGACAUUGGGACUGAGAUACGGAGCAGAAGGGUACGGGAGGCAGCAGUGGGGAAUAUUGCACAACGGGCGGAAGCCUGAUGCAGCAACGCCGCGUGCGGGAUGACGGCCUUCGGGUUGUAAACCGAUUUCGCCUGUGACGAAGCGUGAGUGACGGUAAUGGGUAAAGAAGCACCGGCUAACUACGUG